GACGAACCGUGCGAACGUUGUUCGGAUUCACUGGGCUUAAAGGGCGCGUAGGCGGCUCGCCAAGUCAGGGGUGAAAUCGUUCGGCCCAACCGGACAAGUGCCCCUGAUACUGGCGGGCUCGAGGGAGGUAGGGGCAUGCGGAACUUCCGGUGGAGCGGUGAAAUGCGUAGAUAUCGGAAGGAACGCCGGUGGCGAAAGCGGCGUGCUGGACCUCGCCUGACGCUGAUGCGCGAAAGCCAGGGGAGCAAACGGG
RNAcentral lists this ribosomal RNA (253 nucleotides) under uncultured bacterium. Its description in RNAcentral is "partial 16S ribosomal RNA". It matches the Rfam family "Bacterial small subunit ribosomal RNA", at positions 524 to 776 of the family's 1533-position model. The record is from RNAcentral.